GCACACGCUGUAAAUGACGAUAAACCAAAC
Molecule: non-coding RNA, 30 nt
Filed under: Cricetulus griseus (Chinese hamster)
Lineage: Eukaryota; Metazoa; Chordata; Mammalia; Rodentia; Cricetidae
Source: RNAcentral